Long non-coding RNA from Papaver somniferum (opium poppy), 1933 nucleotides. RefSeq lists it as uncharacterized. The record is from RefSeq and is a predicted model, not a curated record. Lineage: Eukaryota; Viridiplantae; Streptophyta; Magnoliopsida; Ranunculales; Papaveraceae. The transcript is spliced from 2 exons.
GGACUGCUGGAGAAGAAAGCUCGAACAACCGGUCACCGAAAUACACAGCUCAGUGUUAGAAAUUAAGCUUGACCAUGCUAUCGUGGAUUUUGGUGAAUAAGAAACUCUACUAACAAGAGAAAGAAUGACAUUACCAACUUACCACUAGAUGAGACGAGUGAAAAAUAGUUGACAACAGACUUGAAGCAAGUCCUAUGGUGGAAUCCAACCUAUUCAAAGCUUGGAAAAGGUGUGGAAUGUCAAGUAUAAUGGAUUUCAAGUUAGAGUUGAGAGAAGAAUAUAAAGUCUAAGUUUGUCGUGUAAUUCGACUAUCUUUUCUCUUAAUCAAAUAUUGAUUCAAACCGUAUUCAGUAAACAUGUCGACAUUCAUUCAUUGAAUGUUAUCAUGGUAUAGACUCAGAAAUCAUGAAUUUCUGAGGGUAUCGAUCCUAUUCCGCUGUUAAGUCUUAAAUUCUUUACCAAUUUCUUCUGCUGCUGUUGUUCUACAUCAUCUUCAAUUACGAUUUAUGGAGUUUGAUUGGAAGAUUCAAGGAGUUCAUAUGAACAAUUGAUACUGGUGAUUUCUUGGUGUGAUUUAGGGAUUUGAUCCUGAUACUUUACUGCAACGUCGUCAAAAAAGAUUAAGCAUGUAUUUUGGAUAUAAAAUUCGUUUUUAGAACUUGAGCUCUUGGUGAUUUUGGAUUUCCAGUUGGUUGUUUGGAUCUGAAAUUUCUCUACCUCAAAAGCUAAAAGUCGAAUCUCUGUUGGAAUAGUAUUUUCUGUGGCUUGCUAUGGUGUUCUCCAAUUAUACUACUUCUCCCACUUCAUGCGCUGGUUUAUCAUCUGGGUCCUGCUAUAAAUCUUAUGUAUGAAGCUGACCAAGCUGCUGCCAGUGAUGUGUCAAUGGUUAUUAAGUGGACAUCUUGGGAUUGUGCCAAUGUUUUUAAUUAUCCUUCCCAAUUCUGCUAUUGGAUGCUAUUGUGUGAGAGUUCUGUUUAGAUGCAAGUUUCUUGCAGCUGGUGUUGAAUUUUUGCAGUCGUAUUGACAUAAUUGGAGAUUCUGGAUAGUUUGGCUCUUGUAUUCAGUUUUCUAUCAUCUACAUUGUUAUCUCAGCAACUGUUGUUACUACAACUUCUACUAUUAUCUACUGCUGCUACAUCAUUGUCUACACACACUGCUGCUGAAUGUAUCAUCUACGUUUGGUUAUGGAUGCUGCUAUUUCAGGAUCAUAUUCAGCUAUCAUCACAUUUGAAGACUUUUUAAUCUCAUAACCUAUGUGUGUAUGUGUAUUGUGCAUUUCUGCAUCAAGUGUGUGUCCUGCAACAUUACAUUUUCUAAUGCAAUAGUCCACUGCUGCUGGUUACAAUAGUUCUUGUCCAUGAUUCUCCCUGUUCAGCUUUGUUCACUACAGUGCAGUUUUCACCUGUGCACCAACUAGUAGCUGCUAACUCAUGCUAUACCAGUUUCAGUACUACAAAAACUGCAGAUACUUAUUCUACAGCUGCGACAACAACUCUCUCUCUCUCUCUUUAUUAUGCUACAAGGUAUAUUUUCCAGUCACAACUCUACUGCAACAUGGUGUUUUUCUUUACUCCAAUAAUUCUUGUUAUGCACAACAUCACUGACUACAUCAACGCCUAUAUCUCAUCUACUUAUGUUGCUAUCGGCAUGAAUUUGUCUAUUCUGUAUCUCAAUUGCCUUUAUCUGUAUACUUCUCAAUCUGGUGUUACUUCUGUCUGUCUAAAGUGUUGUCUGUGUACUGUGUGCAAGUCUUGUGGGAGUCCAAUCUCAAGUGGUCUUCUUACAACCCACUAGAGAUUGAGGGAGGGUAAUAGCAUAAUGCUGUGAGUGUGUGUAUUGUGCAAGUCAUGUAAGAGUUGAGAGAAGAAUAUAAAGUCAUUCAUUCAUUUAAUUCGACUAUCUUUUCGUUUAAUCAAAUAUUGUAAUUCGACUA